CAAAGACAGGGAGCUGAGGCCCCAGGAAGGUGGCACAGUGGCUCCGCGUGAGCCCAGGCUCUGCCCUCUGCCUUAGCCGUGCUGCGACAGAGUAGAUGCAUCUCUCCUGGGACCCUGGCACCAGGUCCCCUGUUCCCCUCCCUGUGCACACUGGCUAACGGGCAGGGUCUCGGCUGGAGGCUCCACACGGUCCCCCCCACGGGCAGCAGGCUCCCAGCUCAGCACGCAGCAGGGCCCGCCCUGCUCACCCCACUGCCCCUGGGCCUGCCUCCCCAGCUCGAUGAGCCGAUUAGCUGGCUGGCCGGAGGACAAGCUGUCUUCCAGUCAUGCACCUGGGAUCGAGGCCCUGGCUGCUGGAGCAGGGGCCAGCUCAGCGGGAGCUGGGGGACUCACCCCAGGGGAUUAAUGACACGGAGCCCUUCCUCACCCUGCCGGGAGGAAGCCACCAGCCGCCCCUCCCCUCUGCUGGGUGGGGAGCCACCAAGGGGUCCCUUCUGCAGGGGCACACCUAGUUCCGGUCACUAUUGUGGACAGCAAGAAUAUGGCAACCUAUUCACCCACAAAGCCCCAAGAAGUCGACAUCAGUAACCAAGUUGCCAAGAGCAAGGACGCAGCAGAAGUGGGGCUGGGGGCGCAGGGGACCCGUGGUCCACCCACCACCCUCCGACCUCCAGACCAGAGAGUCCCCAUAGGGAGACCACAGGUCCCGUGAAGAGGUGGACAAGGACGCUGUGGGGCACUCCAUUCCAGGGACGGUCGGGUUGCCACUAGCCUGCCCCCGGACCCUGACGGACCCUCAUCAAGAAUGUUCUGGAGCUGCAGACAAUGGGAAGUGUGGCGGAGAAGAGGGCUCAUUCAAUGAGUGACGUGAGGGAGGUCCGUCGACACUUACCUCACCAGAUUAAAUUACCCGAGACGUCAGGAGGAAGGGGCACAGGGACAGGACCACGCUGACGGCGCAGACGCACACCGUGUCCAACUCCCGCAUGUCCCUCUAGGUGCAGAAGAAAGGCGAGGAGCAGAUCACAGGGUCAUUGGGGAGAGAUUAUUGACAUUUUUCUCGGCCUCUUGUCCGUUGUCGUCUUAUGUUUUCUGGACUUUCUCAAAUGAAUCACGUUUUUGGACUGAAGCAGAAAUGGCAUAGAAAUGCAUCACACACAGGACACAUGAUCUGAAGGUACCCCUGUGGCAGGACGUCCUGCGGAUAGGCCCCUGAUGCAGGCACACGCAGCGCUGUGGCUAAUAGAUACCUUUACUUUGCACAGAUGUCAUGAGAGACUGAGGAAGGCCCCAGAGACGCUGGUGGCACCUGGCUCUCACCUGCCUCAAGUUCACCUUGUAAACUUGGGCAAACUCCUCACGAGGCCUGGGUCAGACCUGGCCAGACACCUCUUGGGCUACCGUUCCCUCCAUCUCUGUGUCCACAAGGGACUGUCAAAGGCAGGGUGUUUGCAUGGGCCCAGAUCCUGAGCUGGCAGUGUCAGCUGGGGAUACAGUGACAACCUCUGCAAGCCCCCAGGAGAGUUGCAUAGUUUAGUGGCUAAUCCUGGGAGGAAAGAGUGACCAGGAGCUGGGGGUAAAGGGAAGACUCCAGCCAGGGCUACAGAGGUCGGCUGGUGUCCCAAGGUCAGUGCAGCUCAGACAUAGCCCUGUGCUUGUGGUCAGGAGGCUCAGAAACAGUGCAAAGAGCAACGAUUUGGAGAGAACUGACAAGGAAGGGAAGGUGCGGAUGGGUGGGUUGCGCUGCGUCCACGAGGAGCCCUGCCCCGCAGGCCAGCCUCCUGGGGCCUGGAGUCUCCUGAUCCUGAUGCUUGAGGGCACGUCCUGCCUCCCCAGGGUCUAGGCUGGCUGUAAAUAUGCUCCCGUGUGGUCAGGGGCACAGGCGAGGCUGAUGCAGGGCCCUGGACCCUGGGCUCUCCUCCUCCUCUCAGCAGGGCCGUGGAGCCUUCCGUUCCUGUGGCUUCCUCCUCUGAAAACGUUCCCCUACUCCGCUGGGCCAGCCUGAGACAGACCUGUGUCCCGCCCUCCCUCCUCCACCCCUCCCAGGCUGUGCUCGCUGAACCAUCGCCCCCACGGGGCGGGCAGCCUCUGCGCUGGGCGCUGCUUCCUCCCGGCUUUAGGAACUAGGCCGGCACCGAGGAGUCCUGUGCUGCAUUUUCCUGAAUGCACACCAGAGCUCUGGGAGCAAGAAAACCGACCCUCCCAACCAACGUGGCCCUCAACCCCCUUGGGUGGGCCUCGGGGCCAGCCAGGUCCUGGGAGGUGCCUGCCCCUUGCCCCAGGAAUCCCCUCCUCCCUUCCCUGCCCUCCCUCCUGGUGCUUCCCGCCCCUGCAGGAGACCAGGUCUUCUUCUCUCUCCUUUCUGUCCACAGAUGACCCCUUACACCACCUCCCUGCUCCCCCUUGGCCCACUGUGGCAUUCAGCUGGGCUCACCCACAGUGCCCGCUACCCCGACUGGGCAGAGGAGUCUGUUGCCCUCCCACUGCAUUGGCCCUCAGUCCCCAGAUCGUGUCCCUCUGUCAAGCCAAGCCACUCAGCCAGGUGGGCCCUCCCUCUUUACCUCUGAUGGUCAUUGUCGAUAACGCACUAUUAAAAGUUGGAAAUAUAUUUUCCUCCUGCCAA
Ictidomys tridecemlineatus (thirteen-lined ground squirrel) is the source of this 2623-nucleotide non-coding RNA. The record is from RefSeq and is a predicted model, not a curated record. Lineage: Eukaryota; Metazoa; Chordata; Mammalia; Rodentia; Sciuridae.